This 253-nucleotide ribosomal RNA is filed under the name uncultured bacterium. RNAcentral's name for it is "partial 16S ribosomal RNA". It matches the Rfam family "Bacterial small subunit ribosomal RNA", at positions 524 to 776 of the family's 1533-position model. The record is from RNAcentral.
UACGUAGGAUGCGAGCGUUGUCCGGAAUCACUGGGCGUAAAGGGCGCGUAGGUGGCGACCCAAGUCGAUGGUGAAAGCUCGCCGCUCAACGGCGAGUCGGCCACCGAUACUGGGUUGCUCGAGCACUGUAGAGGCUAAUGGAAUUCCGGGUGUAGCGGUGGAAUGCGUAGAGAUCCGGAAGAACACCGGUGGCGAAGGCGGUUAGCUGGGCAGUUGCUGACACUGAGGCGCGACAGCGUGGGGAGCAAACAGG